CUCUUUAGUGUAGUUGGCAGCGUGUCAGUCUUAUAAGCUGAAAGUCCUGAGUUCAAUCCCCAAAAGGG
RNAcentral lists this transfer RNA (68 nucleotides) under Monodelphis domestica (gray short-tailed opossum). It matches the Rfam family "tRNA". Rfam says of the family: Transfer RNA (tRNA) molecules are approximately 80 nucleotides in length. Their secondary structure includes four short double-helical elements and three loops (D, anti-codon, and T loops). Lineage: Eukaryota; Metazoa; Chordata; Mammalia; Didelphimorphia; Didelphidae. The record is from Rfam by way of RNAcentral.